UUCCGGUUGAUCCUGCCGGACCUGACUGCUAUCGGAUUGAUACUAAGCCAUGCGAGUCAUUGUAGCAAUACAAGGCAGACGGCUCAGUAACGCGUAGUCAACCUGCCCUAUGGACGGGAAUAACCUCGGGAAACUGAGUAUAAUGCCCGAUAGAACAUUAUACCUGGAAUGGUUUAUGUUCCAAAUGAUUUAUCGCCGUAGGAUGGGACUGCGGCCUAUCAGUUUGUUGGUGAGGUAAUGGCCCACCAAGACUAUUACAGGUACGGGCUCUGAGAGGAGUGGCCCGGAGAUGGGUACUGAGACACGGACCCAGGCCCUAUGGGGCGCAGCAGGCGAGAAAACUUUGCAAUGUGCGAAAGCACGACAAGGUUAAUCCGAGUGGUUUCUGCUAAAGGAACCUUUUGUUAGUCCUAGAAACACUAACGAAUAAGGGGUGGGCAAGUUCUGGUGUCAGCCGCCGCGGUAAAACCAGCACCUCAAGUGGUCAGGAGGAUUAUUGGGCCUAAAGCAUCCGUAGCCUGCUUUGUAAGUUUCCGGUUAAAUCCAUUAGCUUAACUGAUGGGCCGCCGGAAAAACUGCAGAGCUAGGGAGUGGGAGAGGUAGACGGUACUCGGUAGGAAGGGGUAAAAUCCUUUGAUCUAUUGAUGACCACCUGUGGCGAAGGCGGUCUACCAGAACACGUUCGACGGUGAGGGAUGAAAGCUGGGGGAGCAAACCGGAUUAGAUACCCGGGUAGUCCCAGCUGUAAACGAUGCAGACUCGGUGAUGCCCUGGCUUGUGGCCAGUGCAGUGCCGCAGGA
RNAcentral lists this ribosomal RNA (800 nucleotides) under uncultured crenarchaeote. RNAcentral's name for it is "bacterial SSU rRNA". It matches the Rfam family "Archaeal small subunit ribosomal RNA", at positions 1 to 808 of the family's 1478-position model. The record is from RNAcentral. Lineage: Archaea; Thermoproteati; Thermoproteota.